GACGAACGCUGGCGGCGUGCCUAAUACAUGCAAGUCGAGCGGACGAUUCGAAAGCUUGCUUUUGAAUCGUUAGCGGCGGACGGGUGAGUAACACGUGGGCAACCUGCCCUGUAGACGGGGAUAACACCGAGAAAUCGGUGCUAAUACCGGAUAACACGAUAUGUCGCAUGACGUUUCGUUGAAAGGCGGCGCAAGCUGCCGCUACAGGAUGGGCCCGCGGCGCAUUAGCUAGUUGGUGAGGUAACGGCUCACCAAGGCGACGAUGCGUAGCCGACCUGAGAGGGUGAUCGGCCACACUGGGACUGAGACACGGCCCAGACUCCUACGGGAGGCAGCAGUAGGGAAUCUUCCGCAAUGGACGAAAGUCUGACGGAGCAACGCCGCGUGAGCGAAGAAGGCCUUCGGGUCGUAAAGCUCUGUUGUUAGGGAAGAACAAGUAACGUAGUAACUGACGUUACUAUGACGGUACCUAACGAGAAAGCCACGGCUAACUACGUG
RNAcentral lists this ribosomal RNA (498 nucleotides) under uncultured bacterium. RNAcentral's name for it is "partial 16S ribosomal RNA". It matches the Rfam family "Bacterial small subunit ribosomal RNA", at positions 28 to 507 of the family's 1533-position model. The record is from RNAcentral.